ACUCAGUAGCGGCGAGUGAGCGGCAGAGCUCAGAUUUGAAAUCUCACCUAGUGUGCGAGUUGUAAAUUGCAGGUUGGAGUCUCGGGUUAGACGUGUGUGCAAGUCCCUUGGAACAGGGUGCCACUGAGGGUGAGAGCCCCGUAGCGUGCAUGUCGACACCUGUGAGGCCCUUCUGACGAGUCGAGUUGUUUGGGAAUGCAGCUCUAAGUGGGUGGUAAAUUCCAUCUAAGGCUAAAUAUUGGCGAGAGACCGAUAGCGAACAAGUACUGUGAAGGAAAGAUGAAAAGCACUUUGAAAAGAGAGUGAAACAGCACGUGAAAUUGUUGAAAGGGAAGGGUAUUGGGCUCGACAUGGGAUUUACGCAUCGUUGCCUCUCGUGGGCGGCGCUCUGGGUUUUUCCUGGGCCAGCAUCGGUUUUCGUUGCAGGAUAAGGACAAUUGGAAUGUGGCUCCUCGGAGUGUUAUAGCCUUUUGUAGAUGCUGCGUAUGGGGACCGAGGGCUGCGGCGGACUCGUUUCGUCUCGGAUGCUGGCACAACGGCGCAAUACCGCCCGUCUUGACCCCCGGGACCA
RNAcentral lists this ribosomal RNA (571 nucleotides) under Pichia kluyveri. Its description in RNAcentral is "eukaryotic LSU rRNA". It matches the Rfam family "Eukaryotic large subunit ribosomal RNA", at positions 78 to 664 of the family's 3401-position model. Lineage: Eukaryota; Fungi; Ascomycota; Pichiomycetes; Pichiales; Pichiaceae. The record is from RNAcentral.